This 885-nucleotide ribosomal RNA is filed under the name Bacillus altitudinis. RNAcentral describes it as "bacterial SSU rRNA". It matches the Rfam family "Bacterial small subunit ribosomal RNA", at positions 503 to 1387 of the family's 1533-position model. Lineage: Bacteria; Bacillati; Bacillota; Bacilli; Caryophanales; Bacillaceae. The record is from RNAcentral.
UGGUGCCAGCCCCGGCGGUAAUACGUAGGUGUUAAGCGUUGUCUGGAAUUAUUGGGCGUAAAGGGCUCGCAGGCGGUUUCUUAAGUCUGAUGUGAAAGCCCCCGGCUCAACCGGGGAGGGUCAUUGGAAACUGGGAAACUUGAGUGCAGAAGAGGAGAGUGGAAUUCCACGUGUAGCGGUGAAAUGCGUAGAGAUGUGGAGGAACACCAGUGGCGAAGGCGACUCUCUGGUCUGUAACUGACGCUGAGGAGCGAAAGCGUGGGGAGCGAACAGGAUUAGAUACCCUGGUAGUCCACGCCGUAAACGAUGAGUGCUAAGUGUUAGGGGGUUUCCGCCCCUUAGUGCUGCAGCUAACGCAUUAAGCACUCCGCCUGGGGAGUACGGUCGCAAGACUGAAACUCAAAGGAAUUGACGGGGGCCCGCACAAGCGGUGGAGCAUGUGGUUUAAUUCGAAGCAACGCGAAGAACCUUACCAGGUCUUGACAUCCUCUGACAACCCUAGAGAUAGGGCUUUCCCUUCGGGGACAGAGUGACAGGUGGUGCAUGGUUGUCGUCAGCUCGUGUCGUGAGAUGUUGGGUUAAGUCCCGCAACGAGCGCAACCCUUGAUCUUAGUUGCCAGCAUUCAGUUGGGCACUCUAAGGUGACUGCCGGUGACAAACCGGAGGAAGGUGGGGAUGACGUCAAAUCAUCAUGCCCCUUAUGACCUGGGCUACACACGUGCUACAAUGGACAGAACAAAGGGCUGCGAGACCGCAAGGUUUAGCCAAUCCCACAAAUCUGUUCUCAGUUCGGAUCGCAGUCUGCAACUCGACUGCGUGAAGCUGGAAUCGCUAGUAAUCGCGGAUCAGCAUGCCGCGGUGAAUACGUUCCCAGGGCCUUGCACA